RNAcentral lists this long non-coding RNA (428 nucleotides) under Sorghum bicolor (sorghum). Its description in RNAcentral is "long non-coding RNA (SBIC_LNC015252)". The record is from RNAcentral. Lineage: Eukaryota; Viridiplantae; Streptophyta; Magnoliopsida; Poales; Poaceae.
CAACCUGUACAUCCGCCGGUACCGUCCCACUGAAAUUAAAAGAGAGAAUCAAAAGAUUAAUUAAUAUCAUUUAAAAAAAUAUGCACAUAUAUAAGCAAAUGUCUGGAAAUAACUCACAUUACGAUCUGGACACUUGUAGAAUAUACGACACUUGUUUACUCCCUCUUUCGACACUUUGUACUCCAUCAAAAUCUUCUGCCCACACUUGCCACAAGUAAUGAGAGAGAGUUCCGGACGGUAUCGCUUUUGAACCCGUUGAGAGACUGAAGACCCGGUCACGGUUGCCAUCUACUAUCCAUACUCAAUUUUUAAACAAUUAUAAAUUCCACAUUUACUAGUAAACAUGUAUGAUACAAUGGACAUUAUAUGUAGUAAUAAAAAUAAAUCAAGUGAUAUUAACAAACCAAUUAAUUUGAACUAUCCUACUU